ACGUACACUCCUGCGGGAGGCAGCAGUGGGGAAUAUUGGACAAUGGGCGCAAGCCUGAUCCAGCCAUGCCGCGUGAGUGAUGAAGGCCCUAGGGUUGUAAAGCUCUUUCACCGGUGAAGAUAAUGACGGUAACCGGAGAAGAAGCCCCGGCUAACUUCGUGCCAGCAGCCGCGGUAAUACGAAGGGGGCUAGCGUUGUUCGGAUUUACUGGGCGUAAAGCGCACGUAGGCGGACUAUUAAGUCAGGGGUGAAAUCCCGGGGCUCAACCCCGGAACUGCAUUUGAUACUGGUAGUCUUGAGUUCGAGAGAGGUGAGUGGAAUUCCGAGUGUAGAGGUGAAAUUCGUAGAUAUUCGGAGGAACACCAGUGGCGAAGGCGGCUCACUGGCUCGAUACUGACGCUGAGGUGCGAAAGCGUGGGGAGCAAACAGGAUUAGAAACCCCGGUAGUCCCAUGAU
RNAcentral lists this ribosomal RNA (456 nucleotides) under uncultured organism. RNAcentral's name for it is "partial 16S ribosomal RNA". It matches the Rfam family "Bacterial small subunit ribosomal RNA", at positions 329 to 801 of the family's 1533-position model. The record is from RNAcentral.